This is a non-coding RNA of Leptonychotes weddellii (Weddell seal), 852 nucleotides long. The record is from RefSeq and is a predicted model, not a curated record. Lineage: Eukaryota; Metazoa; Chordata; Mammalia; Carnivora; Phocidae.
GGGAGCCGCCAUUUUGGGUGCUGAGCUUUAAGUGCCAAGUUCCUUUCACCCGUUUUCAUGCCUGGAUUCAGCCAGGAGGAACAGCACAGCAUGCUGGGCUCUGGAUUUAAAGCUGAGCGUUUACGAGUCAAUUUGCGAUUAGUCAUAAACCGUCUUAAACUAUUGGAGAAAAAAAAAACGGAACUGGCCCAGAAAGCAAGGAAAGAGAUUGCUGACUAUCUGGCUGCUGGGAAGGAUGAACGAGCUCGGAUCCGAGUGGAGCAUAUUAUCCGAGAAGACUACCUUGUGGAGGCCAUGGAAAUUCUGGAGCUGUAUUGUGAUCUGCUGCUGGCUCGGUUUGGUCUCAUCCAGUCUGCGAAGGAACUAGAUUCUGGUCUGGCUGAAUCUGUGUCUACACUGAUAUGGGCUGCUCCUCUGCUCCAGUCAGAAGUGGCUGAGUUGAAAAUAGUUGCUGAUCAGCUCUGUGCCAAGUAUAGCAAGGAAUACGGCAAGUUAUGUAGGACCAACCAGAUUGGAACUGUGAAUGACAGGCUAAUGCACAAACUGAGUGUGGAAGCCCCACCCAAAAUCCUGGUGGAGAGCUACCUGAUUGAAAUUGCUAAGAACUACAAUGUGCCCUAUGAGCCUGACUCUGUGGUCAUGGCAGAAGCUCCUCCUGGGGUAGAGACAGAUCUUAUUGAUGUUGGAUUCACAGAUGAUGUGAAGAAAGGGGGUCCUGGAAGAGGAGGAGGGGGUGGUUUCGCAACACCAGUUGGUGGACCUGAUGGAACAGACUAUGGCUACUCCUCCCAUGCACUAAGAGGUAAAACCAAUCCUGGUCUGAAGAGGGACAAUCUUAUUCUGGCCACAUAA